Zalophus californianus (California sea lion) is the source of this 411-nucleotide long non-coding RNA. RefSeq lists it as uncharacterized. The record is from RefSeq and is a predicted model, not a curated record. The transcript has 3 exons. Lineage: Eukaryota; Metazoa; Chordata; Mammalia; Carnivora; Otariidae.
UCCACGGUAUCCUGGAGACCAAAGCAGGAGAAGCUGAGGGCCUUAGGGGAAGGUCUUCCUCCUUCAGCUGCAGGGAACAUGGCAGGGAACAGAGGAGUGACCCUGUUUGUCCUGCUGCUGUCUUGCUGGCAUGAAACCAAGCUCCAACCGAUCAAUACGACUUCAGGUCCAGCCACUGAAAUGCCAUCAAAUUUAAGAAUUCUGGACGACAACGUGGCUGGAGUAUUCGAUGAAAUUCUAGUCCAAGAGAUCUUGGAUCCAAGUAAUUCAUCAUUGCUUGUGACAUGAAGACUACUACCAAAAUCAACAAUGAGUAUGAAGAAAGAAAGCAAGUAUACAUUUUUUUAAACCUUUAAUUGCAUAUAUUCCUGGGUCUGUGGUGGUGAAGACACAAUCCCAUCAUUCUGCUUU